Molecule: long non-coding RNA, 1184 nt
Filed under: Homo sapiens (human)
Lineage: Eukaryota; Metazoa; Chordata; Mammalia; Primates; Hominidae
Description: HSALNT0212962
Source: RNAcentral
AUUUCUUCCUUCCACGUAGUGUUUGUUCGCUAUUGUCUACUGAGACCUGACUGGGAAUUUUAGGAUGGGGGAGAGAAGAUUGUUAUCUAAACAAAUAAUUAGGGUGACAUGGUCAUUAUUCACGACCAGGGUGGCCACAUUUUAGAACUCUCAGUGCGGGGGCUGCUCUUGUCUCCUAAGCUCCCCAAACAUGCAGGACUCUUGUUUUCAAAAAAAAAUGUGUCUAGAAGAAAGAGGUGGGGAGGCUGAGCUUCCGAGAACUCUGUGUGUUGGAAGAUAGCCCCGAGGGCUGGAGCGGAUUGGGCUGACUUUGAAUCGCAGCAGCAGCACAAUAACUGACAUAUUUCUGGAAAAAUCAUUUGCCCAAAGGGCAGGUCUCGGGACAGGCUGGUCCAGUGGCUUUGGUGAGGGCGCCUCCAUUUGUGAACGCUGGGAUUCCUCUGGGUGGGCUUUGGCAGGUGGCUCCUAUGGUAGGAAGGAUGACCAGGUCCCUGGGAAUGAGCUGCCUACCUGCUGCUCCACGAGGAAGCUCAGGCCUGCACAGGCUCCACCAGGCCUUGGAUGCCCUCUAGUUGAGUCAGAGACCCUGGAAACACACUGAGAUCUCCAAUUGCUGCCUCCAUUGAUGUCUCUAGACCUGCAGAUACGAAGCAAACCUGGGAUUGCUUCUUCCAGGAACGUAUCAAGCUCUCUCAGUGUUUCAGUGUUGGAGAUUGAGGCUGUGCCACAUCUUCUGCCAUCCUAAGGGGACAUGAUGGUUCUGUGAUUCCCAGAGAGCUGGCAGAUUGUGACAAUCUCCAGGAGAACCUACAGAUUGGAAGCAGCCCACACCUGAUGUGGACUCCUGACCCGGGACUCACUCUUCAUUCAGAAGACUGGUGGCCCACGUGCCAGGACCACCCCACCUCUCUUGCUGCCUUUUCUCCUGUCCUGAUGGGGUUCUGGGAGGGAGACCUGUCGCUGAUGAGAUGAAGAAUGUGGGGAUCGAGCAGCCUUCUUCUUUGGGACCCCUCGAUAUCCCAUGGAAUGCUCGCACGUUCUCAAAGACUGAGUCACAAGCCCCUACCCCUUCCUUGCUGUGGUUAGUAUCUUGUUCUGUGAUUGGUUAGCAAUGUUGACUACCCACGUAGUGAAUCUUUUGUCUGCAAUUUAGAGAAUGUGUAAACAAAUAAAAGGCUUUAAAA